Molecule: ribosomal RNA, 556 nt
Filed under: uncultured bacterium
Lineage: Bacteria
Description: partial 16S ribosomal RNA
Rfam family: Bacterial small subunit ribosomal RNA
Source: RNAcentral
UGGGAAUAUUGGCACAAUGGGCGAAAGCCUGAUGCAGCAACGCCGCGUGAGUGAUGAAGGCCUUCGGGUUGUAAAGCUCUGUCUUUUGGGACGAUAAUGACGGUACCAAAGGAGGAAGCCACGGCUAACUACGUGCCAGCAGCCGCGGUAAUACGUAGGUGGCAAGCGUUGUCCGGAUUUUACUGGGCGUAAAGGAUGCGUAGGCGGAUUUUUAAGUGAGAUGUGAAAACCCUAAGCUUAACUUGGGGACUGCAUUUCAUACUGGAAAUCUAGAGUGCGGGAGAGGAGAAUGGAAUUCCUAGUGUAGCGGUGAAAUGCGUAGAGAUUAGGAAGAACACCAGUGGCGAAGGCGAUUCUCUGGACCGUAACUGACGCUGAGGCAUGAAAGCGUGGGUAGCAAACAGGAUUAGAUACCCUGGUAGUCCACGCCGUAAACGAUGAGUACUAGGUGUAGGAGGUAUCGACCCCUUCUGUGCCGCAGUUAACACAAUAAGUACUCCGCCUGGGAAGUACGAUCGCAAGAUUAAAACUCAAAUGAAUUGACGGGGUCAUAGCU